ACGCGCAUGAAUGGAUUAACGAGACUUCCCACCUGUCCCUGCCUACUAUCUAGCGAAACCACAGCCAAGGGAACGGGCUUGGCGGAAUCAGCGGGAAGAAGACCUGUUGAGCUUGACUCUAGUCUGACGUUGUGAAGAGACAUGAGAGGUGUAGAAUAAGUGGGAGCGCAAGCAACAGUGAAAUACCACUACUUUUAUCGUUUCUUUACUUACUCGAUGAAGCGGAAGGCGGCCGAAAUGCCACACUUCUAGAUUUAAGCAGUUGCCCUCGUGGCAAUUGCGAUCCGCUUUGACGACAGCGUCAGGCGGGGAGUUUGACUGGGGCGGUACAUCUGUCAAAAAGUAACGCAGGUGUCCUAAGGCGAGCUCAGCGAGGACAGAAACCUCGCGUAGAGCAAAAGGGCAAAUGCUCGCUUGAUUUUGAUUUUCAGUACGAAUACAGACCGUGAAAGCGCGGCCUAUCGAUCCUUUUUGAUUUUACGAGUUUUAAGCAAGAGGUGUCAGAAAAAGUUACCACAGGG
Molecule: ribosomal RNA, 521 nt
Filed under: uncultured eukaryote
Lineage: Eukaryota
Description: eukaryotic LSU rRNA
Rfam family: Eukaryotic large subunit ribosomal RNA
Source: RNAcentral